This 660-nucleotide ribosomal RNA is filed under the name uncultured archaeon. RNAcentral describes it as "bacterial SSU rRNA". It matches the Rfam family "Archaeal small subunit ribosomal RNA", at positions 497 to 1165 of the family's 1478-position model. The record is from RNAcentral.
GCUUGCCUAAAGCGGCCGUAGCAGGUUUUGUAAAUUUCUUGUGAAACUGCCAAGCUUAACUUGGCAAUGUGCAGGAAACACUGCAAGACUAGAGACCGGGAAGGGUCGGAGGUAUUCCUGAGGGAGCGGUAAAAUGCUAUAAUCUCAGGAGGACCACCGGUGGCGAAGGCGUCCGACUAGAACGGAUCUGACUGUGAGGGACGAAAGCUAGGGGAGCAAACCGGAUUAGAUACCCGAGUAGUCCUAGCUGUAAACGCUGUGAGCUAGGUGUCGCACAUUCUACGGGAAUGUGCGGUGUCGUAAAGAAGUUACUAAGCUCACCGCCUGGGAAGUACGGUCGCAAGACUGAAACUUUAAGGAAUUGGCGGGGGCGCACCACAAGGGGUGCGGCGUGCGGUUUAAUCUAACUCAACACAGAGAACCUUACUAGGAGCGACGGCAAGAUGAAGGUCAUGCUGAAGACAUUACUCGAUGAGCCGAGAGGUGGUGCAUGGCCGUCGCCAGCUCGUGCUAUGAAGUGUCCAGUUAAGUCUGGCAACGAGCGAGACCUGUAUCUGCAAUUGCUAACAGCAUUACGAUGGACCGAGCACAUUGCAGGGACUGCCUUGGAAACAAGGAGGAAGGUGCAGGCUACGGUAGGUCCGCAUGCCCCGAAAAGCC